RNAcentral lists this long non-coding RNA (2685 nucleotides) under Callithrix jacchus (white-tufted-ear marmoset). Its description in RNAcentral is "lncRNA (ENSCJAG00000083962.1)". Lineage: Eukaryota; Metazoa; Chordata; Mammalia; Primates; Cebidae. The record is from RNAcentral.
AAUGUACUUAAUAUGUUUUUAUGUCGACAAACACAUUUUCUACUUGGCAGAGAAAGAAAAGGCCUGUUUUGGGUUUGGGGCUGUGGAGUGAUUUAUAAAGGGCAUUAGCACCAGAGAAACACUCCUGCUAUGGCCUCAUGGGCUGGCGUUCUCUGGUGACCGACUUUCACCCUCCACCUCUUCCUCUCCCUGCAAUCUCCUCCAGUCUGUCCACCUGUCAUUCCUCCCUUUCCAAUACUUCUCACUCUUCUCACCAAACUCUUUUGCCUGUUCACAUCGCUUGUUGUGCCCAGCUCACCCUCUCACUAUCACUCUUUCUCCAAGGAUUCUCGAGGAAAAUGGCCGCCGAGCAGAAGCUCUCAGGGUGGAUGUGGGUUGGUUGCACAGAACAAGCCAGGGGCCUGGAAAGACACUGUGGACAGAAAAGGUGGCCACUGGGUCAGCUCUGACCUGUUCCUCCGUGGUGACGGCUCAUGCAUCCUAUGAAAGGCGGAGGAGAUUACCAGGAAUACCUCGUAUAAAUAAAAUGCUUUCCAGGCCUCCGUGGCCCUGGGUGCGAAGCCCUUUGAAGAAGCCUUCCGGGUCUGCCAUGAGUGGGGAAAAAUGCUGUCUGGGCUGGUGGUAUUUCUGGAGAGAAGAUGAAGUAAAGAAAAACAGUCCCACAAAUCACUCCUCAAUGAGGUGAGAGUCGCCACGGCAACCUGCUCAGGGCUGAGCACCAAGGAGGCAGGAGAGGUGAAGCACCACUUCAGGACAAGGGGCCGAGUGCAGGAUGCUUCCUCAGCACCUGCUGCUGAACGAACACACAGCUCCUGAGCUGCCUGCUGGCAAUCAAGGGAGCCCGCCGGGGCUGCAGGAGCGGGGCCAGGAGGGGCCCGUGGUCAGCCUGGUGCCCUGGAAAGUCACUAGACUGAGUCCCACUCUAUCAGCCAGGCUGGAGUGCAGUAGCAUGAUCUCAGCUCACUGCAACCUUAUUCUCCUGGGUUCAAGCGAUCCUCAUGCCCAGGCUGCAUGCUUUAAAGCUGCCCAGGUGAGUUGGUGGCGUGGCUGGGUUGGGAACCACUAUCACAGGAAUAGGAACACUUGUCCAAGGCGCUUAUGGUUGGUUUGUGCAUUCCCUUGCUGACAGCAUCCAGAUUUUAGCCACUUCAUCAGAAGAAAGUGAUUAGUCAGGAUUAGCUGAGCUCAAUGCUGCAAAAAAGAAAAACAAGCACCUUCUCAUAGACCAAUGAGCGCACGCACAUAGCCCAUGGCGCAGAGGUAGAUGUCUUAACUAUGUAAGUAGACAUUUCCCAAUAUGUAAGUAGACAUAUUGGGAAAUUUUUCAAUUUUUGUCCUCCCAGAAUUUCAAAAGCAGUAUUUUACAUGUUCUUGACUUAGGGCAGCCAAUUUUCACUAAUGAGCCCUGCAGGAGGUGAUCCGAUACAAACCCUCAUCCAUGACACACUGCCACCCCCCAGCACUGCAUAGGCGUCUUCCAUUAGGAGCUCACUGCCGCCCUAGUUGACACAUCAUCCCCAUUUCACAGAUGAGGCACAGUAAGGAACUUGCCCAAAGGCACACAGCUACCAAGCGGGGAGCCUGUCUGACUCGCCUGCUUCUUAUCUCCGAUGAAAAAGACAAGAGCUAGGCAAUGCGCCCCAUGUCACAAAUACUACGUUCAUCGAGGGGAACCAUCUGACACCAGGCCCUGAGUAAGGACAGGCAAGCGUGAGGUGCUGGAGGGUGCUGCACUGGGUGGGACUGGACUAGACGUGGCCACCCCAUCUACAGAGAGUGCAGCCUUAACAGUGAACAGGCCCCUCCCACUGGGGGUCACCUAACAUGACACAGCAACCCUGGUCUACAAAAUAACUAAGUCUAAAACUUCUCACCCUGUCUCCUAUGCUGAAAAUUCAAAUACUGAAAGGUCUGGUUCAAGACUGGAGCCAGUGACAAAUCCUCUCCCUGGAGGUCUGCAGCCAACUUCCGCCCUCCUUAGGGCCCCCAGAUUCACGGUUUGCUGGAGGCUGGAGAGGCAGGUUCCAGAUCUGCUGCCUGCCAACUGUGUGACCACGUGUAAAUUACUUUACUCUGAAAAAAAGGAAGGACAUCUAUGGUUCUAUGCUUGGGAGAGGGUGAAACAAAACUUAUGAAUGUUCCUGGCACAAGGCUCAGCCCAGGAUGAAACCACCGUGAAUGAGAAAUCAUAAUGGAACUGUGCAUGUUCUCCACCAGAAAUCUCACCAAAAUGCAAGGCAGUCCCAAACCUGGGCUGAUUGAGGUGAACACUCACAGUGGUAGGGGCAGGAGGGCAGAUGAAAACCAUUUGUAGUAUAUUUGCAGGAGGAAGAUCCUGCUCCUGCACAGAAAUUCCACCAGGUGGCGCCAUGGGAGAACUUUCACAGCCUUCGAGGUCUGCACCCCAAGGCAGUGGGCUCUGGAGUCCCUGCCAAAGAGCAUUGGGAGUUCAUUAGCCAGUUCAGCGCUAAGGAAAGCUGGGGUCUCGGUUGCUCUUCAAGGAUUUUCUUAACCUCCUUAAUCCAGAUGUUCAUGAAAAUGGGGUGUUACAUGGACACAUAGAGGAGAACAACACACACUGGGGCCUUUGGGAGGGUGGAGGGUGAGGCAAGGGAAAGGAUAGGAAAAAUAAUGAAUGGGUACUAGGCUGCAUACCUGGGUGAUGAAAUAAUCUGUACAACAAAC